UCAUGUGGUGGUUUUCUUACUGGCACAUUUGUUAAGUUUUCAAAUGGGCCUGACUCUGCCACAUAUAUUAUAUAGAAGCUGGGAAAGGCUUGAUGACAAAGAGAUCUCUCUCUCUGGCCUUUUCUACAUCAGAGAUUGGCUCCCACAUGU
This 150-nucleotide small nucleolar RNA is filed under the name Myotis davidii. Its description in RNAcentral is "Small nucleolar RNA SNORA12". It matches the Rfam family "Small nucleolar RNA SNORA12". From Rfam's summary of the family: U108 belongs to the H/ACA family of snoRNAs. The sequence is predicted to guide the pseudouridylation of the U372 residue in the 28S rRNA subunit. Lineage: Eukaryota; Metazoa; Chordata; Mammalia; Chiroptera; Vespertilionidae. The record is from Rfam by way of RNAcentral.